CAGUAGCCGCGGUAAUACGUAGGGUGCGAGCGUUAAUCGGAAUUACUGGGCGUAAAGCGUGCGCAGGCGGUUCGUUAAGACAGAUGUGAAAUCCCCGGGCUUAACCUGGGAACUGCAUUUGUGACUGGCGAGCUAGAGUAUGGCAGAGGGGGGUAGAAUUCCACGUGUAGCAGUGAAAUGCGUAGAGAUGUGGAGGAAUACCGAUGGCGAAGGCAGCCCCCUGGGCCAAUACUGACGCUCAUGCACGAAAGCGUGGGGAGCAAACAGGAUUAGAUACCCGUGUAGUCCCUGUCUCUUAUAC
Molecule: ribosomal RNA, 301 nt
Filed under: uncultured bacterium
Lineage: Bacteria
Description: partial 16S ribosomal RNA
Rfam family: Bacterial small subunit ribosomal RNA
Source: RNAcentral